Molecule: ribosomal RNA, 178 nt
Organism: Callipepla squamata (scaled quail)
Lineage: Eukaryota; Metazoa; Chordata; Aves; Galliformes; Odontophoridae
Rfam family: Eukaryotic large subunit ribosomal RNA
Source: Rfam
GCCUGGGGCAGUACACCUGUCAAAGUGUAAUGCAGGUGUCCUAAGGCCAGCUCAGGGAGGCCAGAAACCUCCCACGGAGCAGAAGGGCAAAAGCUUGCUUGGUUUUGAUUUUCAGUACAAACACAGACCAUGAAAGAGGGGCCUCAAGAUCCUUCUGACUUUUCACAUGUAAUAUGAU